This 480-nucleotide ribosomal RNA is filed under the name uncultured bacterium. RNAcentral describes it as "partial 16S ribosomal RNA". It matches the Rfam family "Bacterial small subunit ribosomal RNA", at positions 28 to 506 of the family's 1533-position model. The record is from RNAcentral.
GAUGAACGCUGGCGGCGUGCCUAACACAUGCAAGUCGAACGGAGAUUACGGACGGAAGUUUUCGGAUGGAAGCCUGUAAUUCUUAGUGGCGGACGGGUGAGUAACGCGUGGGCAACCUGCCCUAUACAGGGGGAUAGCAGCUGGAAACGGCUGGUAAGACCGCAUAAGUCGGUUAAAUCGCAUGAUUUGAUCGGGAAAUGAGCAAUCAGGUAUAGGAUGGGCCCGCGUCCGAUUAGCCAGUUGGCAGGGUAAAAGCCUACCAAAGCGACGAUCGGUAGCCGGACUGAGAGGUCGGACGGCCACAUUGGGACUGAGACACGGCCCAAACUCCUACGGGAGGCAGCAGUGGGGGAUAUUGCACAAUGGAGGAAACUCUGACGCAGCGACGCCGCGUGAGUGAAGAAGUAUUUCGGUAUGUAAAGCUCUAUCAGCAGGGAAGAUGAUGACGGUACCUGACUAAGAAGCCCCGGCUAACUACGU